This 65-nucleotide transfer RNA is filed under the name Gnathotrichus materiarius. RNAcentral describes it as "tRNA-Arg". The record is from RNAcentral. Lineage: Eukaryota; Metazoa; Arthropoda; Insecta; Coleoptera; Curculionidae.
AAACAAGAAGCAAUAAAUUGCAUUUAAUUUCGACCUAAAAGACAGGCCACCACCGCCCUUGUUUU